UACGAAGGGGGCAAGCGUUGUUCGGAUUUACUGGGCGUAAAGGGCGCGUAGGCGGUCAGCACAAGUCAGUUGUGAAAUCUCCGGGCUUAACUCGGAAAGGUCAACUGAUACUGUGCGACUAGAGUGCAGAAGGGGCAACUGGAAUUCUCGGUGUAGCGGUGAAAUGCGUAGAUAUCGAGAGGAACACCUGCGGCGAAGGCGGGUUGCUGGGCUGACACUGACGCUGAUGCGCGAAAGCCAGGGGAGCGAACGGG
This 254-nucleotide ribosomal RNA is filed under the name uncultured bacterium. Its description in RNAcentral is "partial 16S ribosomal RNA". It matches the Rfam family "Bacterial small subunit ribosomal RNA", at positions 524 to 776 of the family's 1533-position model. The record is from RNAcentral.